UCGCCCUUUCAGGCCUAACACAUGCAAGUCGAACGGUAACAGGAAGAAGCUUGCUUCUUUGCUGACGAGUGGCGGACGGGUGUGUAAUGUCUGGGAAACUGCCUGAUGGAGGGGGAUAACUACUGGAAACGGUAGCUAAUACCGCAUAACGUCGCAAAACCAAAGAGGGGGACCUUCGGGCCUCUUGCCAUCGGAUGUGCCCAGAUGGGAUUAGCUAGUAGGUGGGGUAACGGCUCACCUAGGCGACGAUCCCUAGCUGGUCUGAGAGGAUGACCAGCCACACUGGAACUGAGACACGGUCCAGACUCCUACGGGAGGCAGCAGUGGGGAAUAUUGCACAAUGGGCGCAAGCCUGAUGCAGCCAUGCCGCGUGUAUGAAGAAGGCCUUCGGGUUGUAAG
RNAcentral lists this ribosomal RNA (399 nucleotides) under uncultured bacterium. RNAcentral describes it as "bacterial SSU rRNA". It matches the Rfam family "Bacterial small subunit ribosomal RNA", at positions 37 to 429 of the family's 1533-position model. The record is from RNAcentral.